GAAGGUGGAUAUCCAAAGGAGGCUGUGACCCUGUGGGAGCCUUAAGAUGGAGCACGGUCCUACUGGAGACGUGCAGCCCAUGGAGAGGGAAGCCCAUGCUGGAGCAGGUUUUUUCCUGGGGACCAGGUCACAAAAUUAACUCCUCCUGGAACUGUUUGGUUAACAUCAACUGGCAGCCCAGAGAAACCAGUAUGAAUUAUCUUCAGAAGACUGCACUUCACCAAGAGCCUCUCAGUCUCAGGAAAAGUUCAGGGUUGUUAAUCAUCCAACUGUUUCCUUUGGUCUUCAAUUAUAUGCAUUAAUCAUAAAUUAAGUGAUACACUUAAAAGAAACGUCUCUAAUUCUGUUAUUACCUGCUGAGAUGUGGAAACACAGGAAAACACUGUUGUUGCCAAAAUGGUAAGAUCGUUAUAAGGCUCUUCAUGCUUUAAGGAACCCUCUACAUUCAAUGUUUAUAAAAAAAGAAAGAAAAGGACAGGCAAGACAUUAUAUCUAAUUACAAACCUAUGUUUGAAAACAUCUGAGUGAACUGACUUACUGAAAUAUGCCAGAAGAUAAUGUGGUCUAAGAAACAGUAAAUACAGCAGGGAUAGAUAUUCCCAAGUUUACUCACUUCUGU
Long non-coding RNA from Pseudopipra pipra, 619 nucleotides. RefSeq lists it as uncharacterized. NCBI's taxonomy places the organism in Eukaryota, Metazoa, Chordata, Aves, Passeriformes, Pipridae. The record is from RefSeq and is a predicted model, not a curated record. The transcript has 3 exons.